RNAcentral lists this long non-coding RNA (581 nucleotides) under Homo sapiens (human). RNAcentral describes it as "non-protein coding lnc-SCN2A-12:4". The record is from RNAcentral. Lineage: Eukaryota; Metazoa; Chordata; Mammalia; Primates; Hominidae.
ACAGUCACCUUGACAUUGCUCACCUGCCUGGGCCUCAGCCCAUGACCAAGGAAACUUUUGCCCUCCCUCCCCAGGAGCUCACUUACAGGCCAUCUUCAAAGGUACUGCCUACCUGAACCUGCCUUGUCCCAAAGGACACACUUCAAUCUGGGGAGAGUUUAAAGUUGUAGACAUAUCCAUUUUCAUUUAAGGAAUAUGAAGAUCAGGGAGGCAAAAUAUAGAGAUAUAGAGAGGAAAAACUGAGAGAUGAUCAGAAAUUCAGACGCAUUCGGAAUGAGCACCCUUGACCAUACCAAGAACAAAGACUCUAUAAAAAUGUGAAGUCUUAUUAUUGUUCAUCCAUGUUCUACGUGGGAUCCACCCAAGACAUUGAAAACUGUACAGAACAGGGUGAAAUUGAAUCAGAUCAUUCUGUACUCCUAACAAGGUCCACCCCAUGAGAGACUUGCAGCAGAAUUAAUGACACUGUAUAUUUUCCUCUACUAACAACAACAAGAACAACAACAACAACAAUCUAGGAAAAUCAAAGGCAGCCCGACAUGGAAAAAAACACAAAAUGAAUAUUUGGAUUACAAAUAGUG